Long non-coding RNA from Wasmannia auropunctata (little fire ant), 1182 nucleotides. RefSeq lists it as uncharacterized. The transcript is spliced from 3 exons. NCBI's taxonomy places the organism in Eukaryota, Metazoa, Arthropoda, Insecta, Hymenoptera, Formicidae. The record is from RefSeq and is a predicted model, not a curated record.
UUUUGUAUUUAAUUUAAAAUUAUUCCUUGAAUCAAUUAUUUGAAAUGCAUUAAUAUUGAAUAAAAUAUUUCUUGUUGUUAAAUUACUCUUUUCGUUCUUUAUUCGUUAACAUUUAAACUCGUAAUAUUGUGCUUGUCUUACAAUUAGUUGAAAGUUUAGUUCAUGCUUUCGUUGUACUGCCUCUUUUAAAAAAGCAAAUAUUAGCAAGUAAAGAUGACAUUUUUGUUAGGAAAUUAUGACCUUUUUUUUUAUUGAAGCACUUGAAAACGCCAAGUCAAAUCAUAGCGACGCUUUUAGCAUAAAAGCUAAGAUAAUAUGUAGUAAGACGAACUUAGUAGGAGUAUAUACGUGAUGUUGCUGUGUUGUUGGUUGCGCUUUUCGCGCAUUGAAAUUUCAUGCGUUCUGAUUUUUGGCUGUCGUAACUGGAUAUGUCUAAACUGUGGUUAAACAUUGUCUCUCUCUACCCUUGUGAUAUUGUAAAUGAUAUAAAGCUUUGUAAGAUAAUAUUUAAAUUUUAAUGUUUUUCUAUUGUCACGGUUGCAGCGACGUUUGUCGCAAACUAUCAUUUUCUUAAGCAUAAAAUUCUUUUCAAUUCUUGUAAAAUAAAAUUAAAGUUUCUGUACAGUUUUUCGUAUAAAUAUGUAUAUAUAUAAAUAUAUAUGUGUACAUACAUAAUCAAUGCCAAACAGAAACUUAUUUGAUGGAAACAUUGUGAAGUAAUAUCAUUUUUAAGGUUCCUGAAGGAUACAAAUUUAGAUUCAGGAAUAUAAUAAGACCAGGUUGACGAUUGAAAGUUAAAAGUGUAUAAAAUUUAAAAAUCCAAAUUUUCAUUGAACAUAAACAGGAUACACAACGUACCAGGAGCAUGUUUGCAUAGAUUAAUUACCCGCUUAUACUUGAGUAACUUCGGGCAAGUGUUUAAUGCAAGCACAUAAUGUCAAUAAAUUCGCCAAAUGGUGCAAAAUUAUUUGUAUUGCCGUACAAUUAUAAAAACUGGAAAUGUUUAAUUUCUUCCACUUUAUAAUCUGUCCUCUUAUUAUAUAGAGAUGCAGCCCUAUAUUAUAUCAAGGAAAAAAAGCUAUUGUUUAAUAUAAACUUAUAUACAGGUACCUAUCAAAAUAAGUAGAAUAGUCAACCGAUUCGUACGAUAACAAGAAAUUUCAGGUCCCGUUGAAAAAAAAA